This 68-nucleotide transfer RNA is filed under the name Marmota monax (woodchuck). Its description in RNAcentral is "tRNA.Ala". The record is from RNAcentral. Lineage: Eukaryota; Metazoa; Chordata; Mammalia; Rodentia; Sciuridae.
GUUAUGGCUCAGAGGUACAGCGCUUGCCUAGCAUACUUGAGGCACUGGGUUCGAUCCUCAGCACUACA